This 328-nucleotide ribosomal RNA is filed under the name uncultured eukaryote. RNAcentral's name for it is "partial 18S ribosomal RNA". It matches the Rfam family "Eukaryotic small subunit ribosomal RNA", at positions 1470 to 1796 of the family's 1831-position model. The record is from RNAcentral.
CCCUUAGAUGUCCGGGGCUGCACGCGCGCUACACUGAAGGAAUCAGCGUGCUAAAACCAUUGUCGAAAGGCAUUGGUAAACCCAUUAAAAUCCUACGUGAUUGGGAUCGGGAAUUGCAAUUAUUUCCCUUGAACGAGGAAUUCCCAGUAAGUGUGGGUCAUAAGCUCGCGUUGAUUACGUCCCUGCCCUUUGUACACACCGCCCGUCGCUGCCCGGGACUGAGCCGUUUCGAGAAAAGCGGGGACUGCUGCUGUCGGGGCUUUCGGGCCUUGGUUUCGGUGGAAACCGCUUUAAUCGCAGUGGCUUGAACCGGGCAAAAGUCGUAACA